This 218-nucleotide unclassified non-coding RNA is filed under the name soil metagenome. Its description in RNAcentral is "partial contains 5.8S ribosomal RNA, internal transcribed spacer 2, and large subunit ribosomal RNA". The record is from RNAcentral.
AACCUUAUGGACCUGCGGGCGUAUACCUGCGGAGGGAUCAUUACAAGUGACCCCGGUCUAACCACCGGGAUGUUCAUAACCCUUUGUUGUCCGACUCUGUUGCCUCCGGGGCGACCCUGCCUUCGGGCGGGGGCUCCGGGUGGACACUUCAAACUCUUGCGUAACUUUGCAGUCUGAGUAAACUUAAUUAAUAAAUUAAAACUUUUAACAACGGAUCU